GAGGUGUGGGUAGCGGAGAAAUUCCAAUCGAACUUGGAGAUAGCUGGUUCUCUCCGAAAUCGCUUUAGGGCUAGCCUCGAGGUAAAGAGUCAUGGAGGUAGAGCACUGUUUGGUCUAGGGGCCCUUGUCGGGUUAGCGAAUUAAGAUAAACUCCGAAUGCCAUGUACUUAUACUCGGGAGUCAGACUGCGAGUGAUACGAUCCGUAGUCGAAAGGGAAACAGCCCAGACCACCAGCUAAGGUCCCCAAAUAUUUGUUAAGUGGCAAAGGAUGUGGGGUUGCUUAGACAACCAGGAUGUUGGCUUAGAAGCCGCCACCAUUGAAAGAGUGCGUAAUAGCUCACCGGUCGCGUGACCCCG
Molecule: ribosomal RNA, 358 nt
Filed under: Listeria monocytogenes
Lineage: Bacteria; Bacillati; Bacillota; Bacilli; Caryophanales; Listeriaceae
Description: bacterial LSU rRNA
Rfam family: Bacterial large subunit ribosomal RNA
Source: RNAcentral